This is a long non-coding RNA of Colossoma macropomum (tambaqui), 1843 nucleotides long. RefSeq lists it as uncharacterized. The record is from RefSeq and is a predicted model, not a curated record. Lineage: Eukaryota; Metazoa; Chordata; Actinopteri; Characiformes; Serrasalmidae. The transcript has 4 exons.
CCUCAGACCUGAAUAUGCUCUGACACUGUUUUGGAUACAAACCUGGCGGCAGUGCUGGUGUUGGAGGACGUAUCAAGGAGAUAAUAGAACUUGGCAUGCUUACCAUUUCCAAACAGAAAAAUUCAAGAGAGAAAUUUAAAGUGAAAAUUGGACAACCAAGACUGAAAUUUCUCCAGCUUUACUACAACCAUGGCAAGCAAACUGUUAGGGUUGAGGAAGGUGGUGCUGUGUAACUUUCACACAGAAAAGAGUGAAGUGAUCAAAGUCAUCCUGAAAGGCAAACAGCUAAAAGAAGAAAGAGAAUGGUGUGUGCAGCAGGACAGACAACUUGCUUGGUGGAUGCAUUAUUUUGGGAUAAAUCUGAUGUUUGAGAAGGUCUGGAAAUGCAUUUUAGUGCUGUUCUUACGUCAUGGGGUUAUGGAGGAACCUAAAAUCAAAGGAUACAUUCAGAGUGCCAGCAAACUGCUCAAACAAUGUGCCAACCAACACACCAUUCUACAGAGCAAAUCCCCACAGCAGGACGACACAGUGAAGAAAGCCAGGAGAUGUGGAAGUAUGCAAGGGAUUCCUCCGAAUAUUAAUGAAGGAAUGGUGGACUCAGACAGCAUGGAGACUGAUUGGAAUAUACUACUUGUACAGCUACUGAAACCAGCAGCAGUGAUUCUUGUGGCAGUCACUGGGAUACACACAUACAUAGACCUAGUGGCUGUCAUCCUAAUGGAACACUGGGCAGAGUUGGAGAGAUUGUUAUUAGAUUUGUGGUGCCAAUUCCAAUCAAUAUCGAUGUAUUAUUGCUGGCAAGAAAUAAGAAUUUAAGCUGCACUAAGGCUAGCUUUACACAGUGAAACUUUCAUGCCACUACUUUCAUGUUGUGAGUUGCCUGCAACUGGCGUGCACCUAGACUAUUACCCAGCAAUUAAAAAACAAUCAAUGUUGCAUGCAAAACAUUGUUAUUUCACUAGUUAACCAAGCUCUUUUUGAUGCACCAUCAUUCUCGCUAUAAUUUCCAUGAGGUGGAAUAUCUAAAGCAUUUUUAUCAUCUUUGUGUGUACCUAUCUAGGGCCUAUCUAUCUGUCUGCCAUAGAAGAUCUUCGCAUAUCAGAUGUAAUAUUUUUCUGAAGAAUAUUAAUUUGAAUUGUACGUAUCGCAACAAUAACCAGCAAUGCUGCACAUUUGAGGAACUACAUAAGGCCUACGGUUUGUAAAUACAUGGCAAAAGACAUAAGUAAAGACUGAACCAUAGUGUGCAUAGCAUUAUUAUAACAAUAUGCAAUAAAGCUAGCAGAGAUGAGACACAAAACCAUAAUGAGAAUAUGUAUAUUAAAAUAAAAAUCCAAAAGCAUAGGUUUUUAACUAACAACAUUUAACUGGGAUUAUUUUAUUACCUUAGAUUAGUUCUAUGUUUUGUAGGCAGGGGAGUGGGAGGUGUAUUUGUAUUUAUGGCUUAAGGUUUAAUUUCUACACUUUGGAUUGUAUAGUAACCUUAUCACAUUUUAUUAGAUCUCUGGUACUCGAUAUAUAGUCUAUAUAAAGAAGAAGUUAUAGCCUAAUAUAGCUUUGUCUAACUAAGUUUAAGUAAUCUAUUUUCAUUUAUUCACAUGUAUCCAUGAGAAAUUAUUUUAAUUAACUUCUGCACAGGUGGCAAUUUUCCUCCAAUAUGUUCAAUACAGCAAAUAAACAGUGAUUAUGCAUCAAAAUGUGCAGAAUUGUGUUCUCAUUAGAGGAUGUGUUAACUUAUUUUCAAAAAAACAUGUAUUUUGUCCAGACGUUUGCCCAAACUUUUGCAUAUGAUUGUUCAUUUGCAUAAACAUGUAUGUAGUUACCACACUGUUAUUUCUUGAUU